CCUACGGGAGGCAGCAGUGAGGAAUAUUGGUCAAUGGACGCAAGUCUGAACCAGCCAUGCCGCGUGCAGGAAGACGGCCCUAUGAGUUGUAAACUGCUUUUGUACGAGGGUAAACGCAGAUACGCGUAUCUGUCUGAAAGUAUCGUACGAAUAAGGAUCGGCUAACUCCGUGCCAGCAGCCGCGGUAAUACGGAGGAUUCAAGCGUUAUCCGGAUUUAUUGGGUUUAAAGGGUGCGUAGGCGGUCGGAUAAGUUAGGGGUGAAAGCCCGAGGCUCAACUGCGGAAUUGCCUCUGAUACUGGUCGGCUAGAGUGUAGUAGCGGUAGGCGGAAUGUAUGGUGUAGCGGUGAAAUGCUUAGAUAUCAUGCAGAACACCGAUUGCGAAGGCAGCUUACCAGGCUACUACUGACGUUGAGGCACGAAAGCGUGGGGAGCAAACAGGAUUAGAUACCCUAGUAGUC
RNAcentral lists this ribosomal RNA (460 nucleotides) under uncultured bacterium. Its description in RNAcentral is "partial 16S ribosomal RNA". It matches the Rfam family "Bacterial small subunit ribosomal RNA", at positions 338 to 795 of the family's 1533-position model. The record is from RNAcentral.